Molecule: long non-coding RNA, 1234 nt
Filed under: Rattus norvegicus (Norway rat)
Lineage: Eukaryota; Metazoa; Chordata; Mammalia; Rodentia; Muridae
Description: long non-coding RNA NONRATT025680
Source: RNAcentral
GUGGCAGACUGACAGGUGGGAUCGGGAAAGGGUUUAGGGGAGGCGCUGGAGAGCUUUGAUCCUGCAGAGAUCUGAAGAGAGGGGUGUACACAGUGAACACGCUCUUCUGAAAACCAGGGGACAUCGAUGGGGUGCUGCAGAGAGCAAACAACACUGAGUACGGCCUGGCCUCAGGGGUCUUCACGAGAGACAUCAGCAAAGCCAUGUACGUGAGUGACAGGCUAGAGGCGGGAACGGUUUUCAUUAACACCUACAACAAGACGGACGUGGCAGCCCCAUUUGGUGGAGUGAAGCAGUCUGGCUUUGGAAAAGACUUAGGUGAGGAGGCCCUGAACGAAUACCUGAAAACCAAAACAGUGACCCUCGAGUAUUAGAGAGACGCAUCAGGAAACCUGUGACCAACAGCCCGCUUCUCAACUCUUCACAAGCUGAAAACCCCAACGGUGCUGAGGAAGCAGGGGCCGUCUGGAAGUAGAUAAAAGAAUCAGGAAGAGGGUGUGACCACUUGUGUGAGCAUUUACCUGACUAAGGGCCUCAAAAAAAUUCCAGGACACUGUUUAUAACCAAAUGACUUAACUCUUUUUAAAAAUGUUGGUGGUGUAUGUUUUUCUAAAGUAUCAAAGGUCCCUCCCCUUCCUCCCUGAAUGUCUAUUCGCUCCCAGGUCACCCAUCUUGAACACGCUGACCUCACUCACAGGCCCACUUAAGAAGAGUUCUGGGUCUCAACUCCCAAGCCGUAUAUACUGAACACUGUUAACCCUUUCUUUAGCUGUGCGUUCAAACAACAGGGUAUCCUACAGAGAACAUAAUGCCCGUCCUCGUCCCUUCUCGUAUUAGAAGGAAGACUCAUCUCUGUGCCUUUGACUAUUAUGUAACCUACUCUGACAAACGGGCAGCUCGUGAGCCUUUCUUCCACAUCUUCCUACGUGGUACAAAGGACUGUUAAGUUCAGAGGGCACCAAAUUACUGACAUCACCUUCGAUACUGUAGUUUAAAUCCUGGUAAACUAACUGUGAUGGCCAAUCCCUGUCAUACUACACCGGCUUACUGUGUGAGCUGGGGGAAACUACCCAACUUGUCUGAGCUCUGGCCUCCUCAUGUGUUAAAUAGUGGUAGCAGUGCCUUCCUUUGAAGUCUCAUUACAAGGACUCUGCGAAAAGAAAAGCCCCAGGACUGUUCAUAAUUCAUGUAAAUGUUCAAUUAAAAUUUAAAUAUUUCUUUCCAUUACUACUCU